Non-coding RNA from Ictidomys tridecemlineatus (thirteen-lined ground squirrel), 3043 nucleotides. The record is from RefSeq and is a predicted model, not a curated record. NCBI's taxonomy places the organism in Eukaryota, Metazoa, Chordata, Mammalia, Rodentia, Sciuridae.
GCUCCACCGCUGGGCAUCAGUGACGUGUGGCUGCUGCGUGCCAUUUUACAGGCGGGACAACUGAGUCUCCCCAAGGUUACACAGCGAGCUUGCUGAGUCUUAGUCUCCAGGUCUCCCUGGCUCGUGCCCAGGCUCUCAGCGGCCGUCCACUGCUGUUUCUAUCCCCCAGGAGUAUCCCCAGGAGGAUUCUGGUUUCUGUUGCAGCCGGGAGAAGCUGCAUGCUGCUCCUUGCCCCAGUCCCACCACCUGCAAAGGGGUGCGCGCUGCUAGGAGGAGGUGGGACACGCAGGGAGAAGCCCUGGCACCGAUGGGGUCUAUGCCCCGGCGCUUGGACACCUAGCACCUGGUGGGAGUCUUUGCUCAUGUCAGGCGCCUCCUCCCUGCCGCGGUGACCCAAACUCAGACAGUUGAGCCGGGCCGCCGGCAGGCCCUGUGCAUCUCAAUCACGCCGGUACCUGUCCUCAAGGGUUGCGCUACGGUUCAGACCCGACUGCAGGCGCUCCAGCGGGGGCAUCUCAUCCAGACCCGGAAUACCGCCGCUCGGGCUGAAUCUUGACGAAUGAAUGAGAGUUGGCUAGCUGAAGAAGGGACCAACUGCUGGACGUUCCACCGCUGCCCUUCACACCUGCACCCAGACUGCGUGGCACACUCCUACCUACCCUUCAAGGUCCUCCGCUGCAUACCCAGAACCUUCUGCUGUCUCCACUCUCUAAUCUGAGCCCUCUUAGAGGGCAGGGGAGGUAUGGCACACACUGCGUCCCCCACAUCAAGCAGGGUCCCAGCUCUGCGUCGGUGCCACAAGAGCCCUCCCCAGUGCCCCGCCCCCUCCAGGCGGAGACACGACGGCCUCCGCGCCCUCUGGUGGAUCUGGCGCGCAACUGCAGAGAACUCUGCCUGCCGCUCCAGUCUCCGCGGUUCCCUGAGGUCGGGCUCUGGUAAAGGUCUACCUCUUCAGCUCCUGCCCAGGAGACUGAGCAGUGCCCCCAAAGACUGCCAGGCAUCGAGCGGCAAAAGGCAUCUUCUGGUUCCAUCUGCGUGACUUCCCAGUCUGCUGAGGGCAAGUCACCACCUCUCUGAGCUGCUGUUUCCCACUGACAAUCCCAGGGCAUGUCUGCAUGGGCACUCCCUCCUUCUUGGGACCCCCAUGUCCAGCUGUAUUAGCUCAGAAAGGGAUUGAGUUCUAAAACAGUUGCCCUUGGAAGACUUUUGCCCUUCCUGGGCAGAUGUACACUGGCACGGGUUUCAGACUGAGCUCAGUUGCUGCCAUCAUAGAAGAUGGAAUGACCUGGGCUGAGGGUCAUGGUGGACCACACCACCUGGAUACUUGGUCUUUCUUUAGAUCAGUGCAGUACAACAGAGCAUUUCACCACAGUGGAAGUAUGAAUAGCUGCACUGUCUGAUACAGUAGCCACUAACCCCAUGUGGCUACUGAGUGGUUAAAAUUGUGGCUGAUAGGACUGUGGAACUGAAUUUUUAAUUGUUAUUUGUAUUGAUUUAAACUUAAACAGUUAUGUGUUGCUUGUGGCUACUGUGUUGAACACUGCAGAGCCAGAAAAGCCAUCACCUCCUUGCUGAAAUAGAGCCCAGGUCCUCUCCCCACGUGUCUACUCCAAGUCCAUCUCCAGGUGGAACCCGAAGGCCAUCCGGAAGCCUCCCCUGACCGCCCCUCACAGAGCUGGCCAACCUACUCCUCCCUCCGCGGGCUCCCGCCACAGUCAGGAGGAGUUACCGACAGCUGCAUGGUAUUAUGUCAUUUACUCUCCGUGUCCCUCCCCGACUCUCCCUUCACCCCACCCUCUGCCAGACACUGCCACGGGUCCACGGCUUGCUCGGGGACAGGCACUGUGCGGAGGCUGCGACAUUAUUCUCAUGAAGGAGCUGCAGAAGUGGACACUGGGGGUUCUGUCCUGGGCACCCAGCAUCUAUCCUCCCUCCCAUCCACCCCCGGUUCCCUCCCUCCCCACUGCCAUGGACGGCCAUGGUGAGAUGGAGUCACGAUGCCCAUCUCUGCCCGACCUGGGUCAGCGGGACUGUGGGCGGAAUGAUGUGAGCCCACCCCCAGGGAUUUCAAUGCCAGAUGACACAGGCCGUCCUUCCUGGACCUCUGGGCUACACCUCAGGCCCCCACCCUCACCCCCUCCCUGGGGGGCAGAGGAGCCGCCCCCAGCAGCCCACCAAGAAGUGCCCUGGCCAGACGGGGCUCACAACCAAGGAACCCCACUGGCUGGCCACGCGGCCUUGGGGAUGUUUCUCCGGCAGAUCUUUCCUUCCUUGGGGCCCCUAGGGCAGGAGGACCAGGAGGACCAGGGGGACCAGAGGAACAGGGGACGCUGGGAGCCGAGCCAUGCGGCGGAUCAGACAAGAUGCGCCCUCCCUACUCAGGUGGAGUGGUUUUGCGCUGGGUCCCCACAGCAUUUUGAAUUGAUGCUAAGAAAAAAUAGGUUAAGUGAUUCUUUUGGAGAAAGAAAUGCGAGCGCGCACGUCCACGCGCACCCAAGAGCACAGAAGGGAUCCCACUCCGGUUUAGGAUCUAGACCCAAACCUCAAGCUUUCAGCUGGCACCGAGGGCCCUGGAGGAGGAGCAGGGAGGAGAAGAAAGGACCCCGCCGCCCUGCCCACGGGGACCGCCCUGCCCACGGCGGACCGCUCCAUCUGGGGGCAUUUUGUCUUCCACACGCUGUGGCAGGGCUGUCAGCAAGACGAUGAGAGUGGCUAUGAGGGGGAUGGGAAGGGGAGCCCCCCAGGGGGCCUGCUUGGGAAGAGAUUCUGGAGAACGUCCCUUCCUACAGGGACCCGCGGCAUUUGGCAGGGCAGUAAGCCCCUCCCUCACUUCCGCCCCCUGCCCCCUGCCCAUCCUCAUCGCCACACCUGGGCUUCUGGUGGUGCUGUCCCCUCGGCCUGCGGACAUUCUUCUCCUCUCAGGUCCUUCAGAACAGUGUGCGGGUGACCACAUUAGUCCCGUUGUUGGGUAAGGAGCCACCUCAAACCUCGGUGGCUUGAAUCAGCAAAAAAUAACUAAAUAAAAGAGAAGCUUACUAUUUCA